This 245-nucleotide ribosomal RNA is filed under the name uncultured bacterium. RNAcentral describes it as "partial small subunit ribosomal RNA". It matches the Rfam family "Bacterial small subunit ribosomal RNA", at positions 26 to 285 of the family's 1533-position model. The record is from RNAcentral.
AGAAUCAACGCUGGCGGCGUGCCUAACACAUGCAAGUCGCACGAGAAAGGGACUUCGGUCCUGAGUACAGUGGCGCACGGGUGAGUAACACGUGAAUCAUCUACCUCCGAGUGGGGAAUAACUGAAAGAAAUCUUAGCUAAUACCGCAUAACACUUACGAGUCAAAGCAGCAAUGCGCUUGGAGAGGAGUUCGCGGCAGAUUAGUUAGUUGGCGGGGUAAUGGCCCACCAAGACGAUGAUCUGUA